CCAAAACCAUUUCUCCCAUCUUGCACUACCUUCUGUCCGACUUUGCAUAUCACGUCCUAAAAUCUGGCCUCCAUCUCCGGCAGUGGUGCAGCCGUUCAAAUCCGGCAACCUUGCAGAUCCGACAGUAAAGUCCGAUCUCCAUCCCGCCGCCUUCAAUCAUCCGUCACUCUUUUUCUUUGCACACUAUUGUUUAUCGGAAAAUACCAUUCAUGUACGCAUCGACAUACCAAACUCUCUCCCUCUCUGUGCCCUCUUGUCUCUGUCACCAGCUCUUUCACCGAUAAUUAUAUCCAUUUUUGAAACCUUUUCUGCAGGUUGUUUUUCCCUUUCUUGUUUUCACUAAAAGGAAGAUUUUAGUGUGAACUCAUUUAUUGCCGAAAUUGUUGACUUGCUACUGGGCAUGUAAGUAGAUAAUGAUGCUAGUAUCGUCUCUGUUAUUGUGAAUUCUAGAUACUGUAAAGCGAAUUUGUACAUUUCACAGCUAGUUCAUAAAUAAUUAUUUUUCUGUUGAGUUUCUUUAUCUUCCUUGUUGAUUUUGUAUUUGAUCUCAAUAGCUUCUUGGGGAUUUCUUAGUAUGUUCAUUGAAGGUUAAGAUUGGUUUUUCGUAGUUGGUUUAUUCUUCAGGCAUGAUUUUGGUUUAUGUUGAUAUUUAUAUUGGAGAUUUCUUAGUCCGAAAAGUACCAAAAAUGCACAGCAAUAUUGAAAUGGCGUUUUCUUGAAUUUAUCAAUCAUGGGUUUGAAUUUUCUUUUUCCCCCGGCAUUUUUUUUUUUUUUUUUUCAUUUUGCUGUUAUGAAUUUUUGUGUUUAGGAAAGCUAUUCUCAUUUGCAUAGUAGGAGUUUGAAUGUUUGAUGCUGUGAUCUUCGCUCUUGUUAUUAUAUUUGUACUUUUUUCAAACAUUGAAAUGAGCUGGCAAUAUCUAGAAAUUUAUACAUGGUGUGAUUGACUUAAGUCUUCUUUUGAUUCUUUUGGUUGAAGAUGCUAGUUUGAAUUUUUGUUUUGUUAAUUUCGGUUAAAACGGAUGGGUAUAUAUCUUAAUACUCCUAAAACAGAGAAAUUUUCCGAAGAUGGUGCGCCCAAGGUUCUGCCAGCUCCCUCAAUGACAACAUUUGGAGCAUCAUAUUGGCCACAUUUCAAUUGAAGCGAG
RNAcentral lists this long non-coding RNA (1145 nucleotides) under Olea europaea subsp. europaea. The record is from RNAcentral. Lineage: Eukaryota; Viridiplantae; Streptophyta; Magnoliopsida; Lamiales; Oleaceae.